ACUUAGAAUUCCAUAAAAGCUUAAUGUACUUACGGUAGCAGUAAAGAAAAUGCCCCCAAAGGGAGUCGCACAAUUAGGAGGUGUGGCCUUCUUGGAGUAGGUUUGAUCUUGUUGGAGGAAGUGUGUUGCUAUGGAGGUGGGCUUUGAGAUCUCAUUUAUGCUCAGGUCACACCCACUGAGAAAGAUCACUAGUCAAGAUGUAAGAACUCUCAGCUCUUUCUCUAACACCAUGCCUGCCUGCAUGCUGCCAUGCUUCCUACCAUGAUGAUAAUGGACUAAACUUCUGAACUAAUAUGGUUGCCUGCAGACAAGCAAAAACAGAAAAUUAAAGCUACAGACAUGACAGAAGCACUGUACCUAACCUGCCUAUGCAGUCAGUUGACCC
This 385-nucleotide long non-coding RNA is filed under the name Cricetulus griseus (Chinese hamster). RNAcentral describes it as "lncRNA (ENSCGRG00015033876.1)". The record is from RNAcentral. Lineage: Eukaryota; Metazoa; Chordata; Mammalia; Rodentia; Cricetidae.